This 71-nucleotide transfer RNA is filed under the name Loxodonta africana (African savanna elephant). It matches the Rfam family "tRNA". From Rfam's summary of the family: Transfer RNA (tRNA) molecules are approximately 80 nucleotides in length. Their secondary structure includes four short double-helical elements and three loops (D, anti-codon, and T loops). Lineage: Eukaryota; Metazoa; Chordata; Mammalia; Proboscidea; Elephantidae. The record is from Rfam by way of RNAcentral.
GCACUGGUGGUUAAGUGGUAGAAUUUUUGCCUCCCAUGAGGGAGACCCGGGUUUGAUUCCUGGCCAGUACA